GUGACCUCAGAUCAGGUAGGACUACCCGCUGAACUUCAGCAUAUCAAUAAGCGGAGGAUAACUGCGAGUGUAGCUGGGAAAGCGCAACUUUAAAAUCUGUCAGUCUUCGGCUGUCCGAGUUGCAUCUAGAGAAGUGUAGUCUGCGCUGUACGUGUAUACUCCUCUGGAAUGGAGCGUCGAGAAGACGAUAACCCUCAUUCACUGGACUGCGAGGGGUCUGAUGAGGAGCCUCACAAAGAGUGUAAUAGUUUUGGGA
This 256-nucleotide ribosomal RNA is filed under the name uncultured Cortinarius. RNAcentral describes it as "partial 28S ribosomal RNA". Lineage: Eukaryota; Fungi; Basidiomycota; Agaricomycetes; Agaricales; Cortinariaceae. The record is from RNAcentral.